This 79-nucleotide transfer RNA is filed under the name Armillaria novae-zelandiae. It matches the Rfam family "tRNA". From Rfam's summary of the family: Transfer RNA (tRNA) molecules are approximately 80 nucleotides in length. Their secondary structure includes four short double-helical elements and three loops (D, anti-codon, and T loops). Lineage: Eukaryota; Fungi; Basidiomycota; Agaricomycetes; Agaricales; Physalacriaceae. The record is from Rfam by way of RNAcentral.
GGCCGUGUGGCGUAAUGGCAACGCGUCUGACUACGAAAGGAUAAUCAGGAGAUUGCAGGUUCGACCCCUGUCUCGGUCA